This 468-nucleotide ribosomal RNA is filed under the name uncultured bacterium. RNAcentral's name for it is "partial 16S ribosomal RNA". It matches the Rfam family "Bacterial small subunit ribosomal RNA", at positions 28 to 507 of the family's 1533-position model. The record is from RNAcentral.
GACGAACGCUGGCGGCGUGCUUAACACAUGCAAGUCGAACGGAAAGGCCCUGCUUUUGUGGGGUGCUCGAGUGGCGAACGGGUGAGUAACACGUGAGUAACCUGCCCUUGACUUUGGGAUAACUUCAGGAAACUGGGGCUAAUACCGGAUAGGAGCUCCUGCUGCAUGGUGGGGGUUGGAAAGUUUCGGCGGUUGGGGAUGGACGCGCGGCUUAUCAGCUUGUUGGUGGGGUAGUGGCUUACCAAGGCUUUGACGGGUAGCCGGCCUGAGAGGGUGACCGGCCACAUUGGGACUGAGAUACGGCCCAGACUCCUACGGGAGGCAGCAGUGGGGAAUAUUGCACAAUGGGCGGAGGCCUGAUGCAGCAACGCCGCGUGCGGGAUGACGGCCUUCGGGUUGUAAACCGCUUUCGCCUGUGACGAAGCGUGAGUGACGGUAAUGGGUAAAGAAGCACCGGCUAACUACGUG